Molecule: long non-coding RNA, 623 nt
Organism: Ornithodoros turicata
Lineage: Eukaryota; Metazoa; Arthropoda; Arachnida; Ixodida; Argasidae
Exons: 4
Source: RefSeq, a predicted model, not a curated record
GUGAUUAUUACCCUUUUGAUUCCUAUUACCCUAUGCUUUAUCUUUCAGCUAAGUGUACUCGUGACCCUACCAGCACUUUUCAAGAUACUUUCGACGUAUUCAUUGCGGUGAACAACGCGGUUGGGACAGCACACUCACGACGUGGGAAGGUCACAGAAAUGUUGAAAGACAUCAGAUGUGUGGAAACGUCGUAGCGGAUGAAUGUGAAUUAUGGAUCUCCAAGUGGCGUCGCCCGCGUCAUUUUCAAGAUUUUACCCGUUUUGAAGGUACGUAGUGAAUGUGCGAGGCAUUCACGUUCCUACUACGUGGUUAUCCAUGCGUUUCCCGUCUUCGCAGGCAAUAGGGCUGUUGAUAGGGAGAAUGCUAGGCUACUGCAGACUGCAACCACAGGCGCUGUGUCUAAAGGUUAAGCUCACAUGACGCGGCAGGGAAGGGAGUCCGUGGCGAAAAGUGAAUAUAGCCGAAGUUGGAUAGCGUUAAUUUUUGCGCACGAAAGGCAAGCUGGACACAUCGCAAAUCUCCAGUUGUACGAAACACAGUGCAGCAUGGUCGUCGGUUAUGCCAGUGCUUCAACAUAUGUUUCAGCGUCGCACUUCGGACAUUGCGGGCAUAUACCUUUAAGU